CAAUCAAACCGGGAGAUAGCUGGUUCUCCCCGAAAGCUAUUUAGGUAGCGCCUCGUGAAUUCAUCUCCGGGGGUAGAGCACUGUUUCGGCUAGGGGGCCAUCCCGGCUUACCAACCCGAUGCAAACUGCGAAUACCGGAGAAUGUUAUCACGGGAGACACACGGCGGGUGCUAACGUCCGUCGUGAAGAGGGAAACAACCCAGACCGCCAGCUAAGGUCCCAAAGUCAUGGUUAAGUGGGAAACGAUGUGGGAAGGCCCAGACAGCCAGGAUGUUGGCUUAGAAGCAGCCAUCAUUUAAAGAAAGCGUAAUAGCUCACUGGUCGAGUCGGCCUGCGCGGAAGAUGUAACGGGGCUAAACCAUGCACCGAAGCUGCGGCAGCGAACGUAUCACCCAAGACAACUUUACGGAGUUGACGAUUGACGGAGCGAAGCGACGUCAAAGCGUUCAUUAAAGUCGAGUUGGCUUAGGGAUACGUUCGUUGGGUAGGGGAGCGUUCUGUAAGCCUGUGAAGGUGUGUCGUGAGGCAUGCUGGAGGUAUCAGAAGUGCGAAUGCUGACAUAAGUAACGAUAAAGCGGGUGAAAAGCCCGCUCGCCGGAAGACCAAGGGUUCCUGUCCAACGUUAAUCGGGGCAGGGUGAGUCGACCCCUAAGGCGAGGCCGAAAGGCGUAGUCGAUGGGAAACGGGUUAAUAUUCCCGUACUUGGUGUUACUGCGAAGGGGGGACGGAGAAGGCUAUGUUGGCCGGGCGACGGUUGUCCCGGUUUAAGCGUGUAGGUGUGUGUUCCAGGUAAAUCCGGUUCACUUUAACACUGAGGCGUGACGACGAGGCACUACGGUGCUGAAGCAACAAAUGCCCUGCUUCCAGGAAAAGCCUCUAAGCAUCAGGUAACAUCAAAUCGUACCCCAAACCGACACAGGUGGUCAGGUAGAGAAUACCAAGGCGCUUGAGAGAACUCGGGUGAAGGAACUAGGCAAAAUGGUGCCGUAACUUCGGGAGAAGGCACGCUGACACGUAGGUGAAGUGAUUUACUCAUGGAGCUGAAGUCAGUCGAAGAUACCAGCUGGCUGCAACUGUUUAUUAAAAACACAGCACUGUGCAAACACGAAAGUGGACGUAUACGGUGUGACGCCUGCCCGGUGCCGGAAGGUUAAUUGAUGGGGUCAGCGCAAGCGAAGCUCCUGAUCGAAGCCCCGGUAAACGGCGGCCGUAACUAUAACGGUCCUAAGGUAGCGAAAUUCCUUGUCGGGUAAGUUCCGACCUGCACGAAUGGCGUAAUGAUGGCCAGGCUGUCUCCACCCGAGACUCAGUGAAAUUGAACUCGCUGUGAAGAUGCAGUGUACCCGCGGCAAGACGGAAAGACCCCGUGAACCUUUACUAUAGCUUGACACUGAACAUUGAGCCUUGAUGUGUAGGAUAGGUGGGAGGCUUUGAAGUGUGGACGCCAGUCUGCAUGGAGCCGACCUUGAAAUACCACCCUUUAAUGUUUGAUGUUCUAACGUGGACCCGUAAUCCGGGUUGCGGACAGUGUCUGGUGGGUAGUUUGACUGGGGCGGUCUCCUCCUAAAGAGUAACGGAGGAGCACGAAGGUUGGCUAAUCCUGGUCGGACAUCAGGAGGUUAGUGCAAUGGCAUAAGCCAGCUUGACUGCGAGCGUGACGGCGCGAGCAGGUGCGAAAGCAGGUCAUAGUGAUCCGGUGGUUCUGAAUGGAAGGGCCAUCGCUCAACGGAUAAAAGGUACUCCGGGG
This 1747-nucleotide ribosomal RNA is filed under the name Salmonella enterica. Its description in RNAcentral is "partial 23S ribosomal RNA". It matches the Rfam family "Bacterial large subunit ribosomal RNA", at positions 830 to 2473 of the family's 2925-position model. The record is from RNAcentral. Lineage: Bacteria; Pseudomonadati; Pseudomonadota; Gammaproteobacteria; Enterobacterales; Enterobacteriaceae.